RNAcentral lists this ribosomal RNA (632 nucleotides) under uncultured bacterium. RNAcentral's name for it is "bacterial SSU rRNA". It matches the Rfam family "Bacterial small subunit ribosomal RNA", at positions 117 to 763 of the family's 1533-position model. The record is from RNAcentral.
GUAAGGAACUUGCCUCUUGGACUGGGACAACUGUUGGAAACGACAGCUAAUACCGGAUAUUAUGAGAUUCUCGCAUGAGAAACUUAUGAAAGCUAUAUGCGCCAAGAGAGAGCCUUGCGUUCCAUUAGCUAGUUGGUGGGGUAACGGCCCACCAAGGCGACGAUGGAUAGCCGGCCUGAGAGGGUGAACGGCCACAAGGGGACUGAGACACGGCCCUUACUCCUACGGGAGGCAGCAGUGGGGAAUAUUGGACAAUGGGCCACAAGCCUGAUCCAGCAAUUCUGUGUGCACGAUGAAGGUCUUCGGAUUGUAAAGUGCUUUCAGUUGGGAAGAAGAAAGUGACGGUACCAACAGAAGAAGCGACGGCUAAAUACGUGCCAGCAGCCGCGGUAAUACGUAUGUCGCAAGCGUUAUCCGGAUUUAUUGGGCGUAAAGCGCGUCUAGGCGGAAAAAUAAGUCUGAUGUUAAAAUGCGGGGCUCAACUCCGUAUUGCGUUGGAAACUGUUUUUCUAGAGUACUGGAGAGGUGGGCGGAACUACAAGUGUAGAGGUGAAAUUCGUAGAUAUUUGUAGGAAUGCCGAUGGAGAAGUCAGCUCACUGGACAGAUACUGACGCUGAAGCGCGAAAGCGUG